RNAcentral lists this ribosomal RNA (212 nucleotides) under Alexandrium margalefii. Its description in RNAcentral is "partial Bacterial large subunit ribosomal RNA". It matches the Rfam family "Bacterial large subunit ribosomal RNA", at positions 424 to 635 of the family's 2925-position model. Lineage: Eukaryota; Dinophyceae; Gonyaulacales; Pyrocystaceae. The record is from RNAcentral.
ACGUGAAACCUUGUCUGAACGUGGGGGGACCACCCUCCAAGCCUAAGUACUCCUCGAUGACCGAUAGUGAACCAGUACCGUGAGGGAAAGGUGAAAAGAACCCCUGUUAGGGGAGUGAAAUAGAACCUGAAACCGUGUACGUACAAGCAGUCGGAGCCCUCUUUGUGGGGUGACGGCGUACCUUUUGUAUAAUGGGUCAGCGACUUAUAUUU